Molecule: ribosomal RNA, 498 nt
Filed under: uncultured bacterium
Lineage: Bacteria
Description: partial 16S ribosomal RNA
Rfam family: Bacterial small subunit ribosomal RNA
Source: RNAcentral
GGAUGAACGCUGGCGGCGUGCCUAAUACAUGCAAGUCGAGCGAACAGAUGAGGAGCUUGCUCCUCUGACGUUAGCGGCGGACGGGUGAGUAACACGUGGAUAACCUACCUAUAAGACUGGGAUAACUUCGGGAAACCGGAGCUAAUACCGGAUAAUAUAUUGAACCGCAUGGUUCAAUAGUGAAAGACGGUUUUGCUGUCACUUAUAGAUGGAUCCGCGCCGCAUUAGCUAGUUGAUAAGGUAACGGCUUACCAAGGCAACGAUGCGUAGCCGACCUGAGAGGGUGAUCGGCCACACUGGAACUGAGACACGGUCCAGACUCCUACGGGAGGCAGCAGUAGGGAAUCUUCCGCAAUGGGCGAAAGCCUGACGGAGCAACGCCGCGUGAGUGAUGAAGGUCUUCGGAUCGUAAAACUCUGUUAUUAGGGAAGAACAAAUGUGUAAGUAACUAUGCACGUCUUGACGGUACCUAAUCAGAAAGCCACGGCUAACUACGUG